AUUAUUUGUCAGUCUGCCCUGCUCAUAAGGUCAUGUAAUAAGUCAAGUUCUGAAAGUUAUGUCCAUUCUCUUUGUCUAGUUCCAGUUGGAGGCAAUAUCAAAAUCCAGGUGGAAUAUUUCUACAGAGCUGACUACAAGGCGACUGCUGCCAAACUGGAUUGCCAGAUAAGUCGGGGAACCUUCCCUUUCGUCACAUGGCUCCACGGUGGCUCCGUCCUGCCGUCAGACUCCCAAACAGACUUUCACAUCUCUCAAACCGCCCCUCCCUUUGCCUUCGCGGACCAAGGACGAACCCUGAUAAUAGCCGAGCUCAGACCAGAGGUUUUUGGACUUUACCGAUGCAAGGUUAGAGACAGCUACGAUGACACUGGUCCCUGGCUGGAGAGUGAAGAGGUGUUGGUGCAAAUCAAAGGUUCCUUAAGCCCCUGUCCCAAGCCCCUCCCAGCUCCACCCACCGCAACACUGUCAAAUGUUUCUACACCCACCAUCGAGUCCAUCUCCAUUGCAUUCUGCUGCUUCGUCUUGCUCGCUCUGGUUGUGGGUGUGGCCUGUGUUUACAGGAUGGUCGACCAAAGACAAGAUGUACAAGCCGCAGGGACAAAUUUAGUUGAUACGUCCAUGUCUGCACAGCCAUCCACUACGGGAGCCAUGCCAGAAAAUAACCAACAGAUGUUUGAAGUUACAAUAUGA
Molecule: long non-coding RNA, 690 nt
Filed under: Neogobius melanostomus (round goby)
Lineage: Eukaryota; Metazoa; Chordata; Actinopteri; Gobiiformes; Gobiidae
Description: lncRNA (ENSNMLG00000011469.1)
Source: RNAcentral